Molecule: non-coding RNA, 23 nt
Filed under: Arabidopsis thaliana (thale cress)
Lineage: Eukaryota; Viridiplantae; Streptophyta; Magnoliopsida; Brassicales; Brassicaceae
Source: RNAcentral
UGAGGGGUCCAUUUUUAACAAUA